UUAUGACGGUCUUCGGCCGCGAGGCGUUC
RNAcentral lists this small RNA (29 nucleotides) under Bombyx mori (domestic silkworm). RNAcentral describes it as "ovarian small RNA-9453". The record is from RNAcentral. Lineage: Eukaryota; Metazoa; Arthropoda; Insecta; Lepidoptera; Bombycidae.